GAUGAACGCCGGCGGCGUGCUUAACACAUGCAAGUCGAACGAACCUUCGGGUUAGUGGCGGACGGGUGAGUAACGCGUGAGAAUCUGCCCUCAGGAGGGGGAUAACGGCUGGAAACGGCCGCUAAUACCCCAUAUGCCGCGAGGUGAAAAGAAAUUCGCCUGAGGAUGAGCUCGCGUCUGAUUAGCUAGUUGGUGGGGUAAAAGCCUACCAAGGCGACGAUCAGUAGCUGGUCUGAGAGGAUGAUCAGCC
RNAcentral lists this ribosomal RNA (250 nucleotides) under uncultured bacterium. RNAcentral describes it as "partial 16S ribosomal RNA". It matches the Rfam family "Bacterial small subunit ribosomal RNA", at positions 28 to 309 of the family's 1533-position model. The record is from RNAcentral.